RNAcentral lists this ribosomal RNA (364 nucleotides) under uncultured eukaryote. Its description in RNAcentral is "partial small subunit ribosomal RNA". The record is from RNAcentral.
CGUGGGCACAAAGGGGUGGUCAACUCGGUCACGUUUAGUCAGGAUGGUAACCGCUUGGCGUCGGCAUCAGGCUUAUGGCCUGACGACGAGCCUCGCGACAACACAGUCCGUAUCUGGGAUUUGUCAACGGUAGGAGAGCUGCGUGUCCUGCGGGGACACGAAGGGGGUGUGCAUGCUGUGACGUUUAGCCCGGACGGUGCACGGCUCGCGUCGGCGUCGGAGGACACGACGGUACGCGUCUGGGAUGCAUCUACGGGUGAGCAGCUGAACGUCCUGAACGGACACGCAGGCGAAGCUUGGUCGGCCACGUUCAGCCCGGAUGGGUCGCGCGUGGUGUCAGCGUCGGGAGACAAGACUUUGCGGG